CCUACGGGAGGCAACAGUGAGGAAUAUUGGUCAAUGGACGCAAGUCUGAACCAGCCAUGCCGCGUGCAGGAAGACGGCUCUAUGAGUUGUAAACUGCUUUUGUACGAGGGUAAACGCAGAUACGCGUAUCUGUCUGAAAGUAUCGUACGAAUAAGGAUCGGCGAACUCCGUGCCAGCAGCCGCGGUAAUACGGAGGAUUCAAGCGUUAUCCGGAUUUAUUGGGGUUAAAGGGUUCGUAGGCGGUCGGAUAAGUUAGAGGUGAAAUCCCGCGGCUCAACUUCGGAAUUGCCUCUGAUACUGGUCGGCUAGAGAGGAGUUGCGGUAGGCGGAAUGUAUGGUGUAGCGGUGAAAUGCUUAGAGAUCAUACAGAACACCGAUUGCGAAGGCAGCAUACCAGGCUACUUCUGACGUUGAGGCACGAAAGCGUGGGGAGCGAACAGGAUUAGAUACCCGGGUAGUC
Molecule: ribosomal RNA, 460 nt
Filed under: uncultured bacterium
Lineage: Bacteria
Description: partial 16S ribosomal RNA
Rfam family: Bacterial small subunit ribosomal RNA
Source: RNAcentral